RNAcentral lists this unclassified non-coding RNA (355 nucleotides) under soil metagenome. Its description in RNAcentral is "partial contains 5.8S ribosomal RNA, internal transcribed spacer 2, and large subunit ribosomal RNA". The stretch from base 1 to 120 matches the Rfam family "5.8S ribosomal RNA", at positions 35 to 154 of the family's 154-position model. The record is from RNAcentral.
GAUGAAGAACGUAGCGAAAUGCGAUAAGUAAUGUGAAUUGCAGAAUUCAGUGAAUCAUCGAAUCUUUGAACGCACAUUGCGCCCAUUAGUAUUCUAGUGGGCAUGUCUGUUCGAGCGUCAUUAAGUCCACUUAAGCCCUGCUUAGUGUUGGGAGACUGCUCCAGCGGUGCUACCCUGUAGCUACCCUGCAGCUCCUCAAAGACAGCGGCGGAGUUGUGGUAUCCUCUGAGCUUAGUAACUUGUUCUAGCUUUCGAGUACACCACUUCCCCUGCCGUAAAACCCUUAAUUUUUAAUGGUUGACCUCGGAUCAGGUAGGAAUACCCGCUGAACUUAAGCAUAUCAAUAAGCGGAGGA